UGUCAUGGUUGUCUGAGCAUUUAGUUGUGU
Molecule: non-coding RNA, 30 nt
Filed under: Mus musculus (house mouse)
Lineage: Eukaryota; Metazoa; Chordata; Mammalia; Rodentia; Muridae
Source: RNAcentral